This 492-nucleotide ribosomal RNA is filed under the name uncultured bacterium. Its description in RNAcentral is "partial 16S ribosomal RNA". It matches the Rfam family "Bacterial small subunit ribosomal RNA", at positions 29 to 507 of the family's 1533-position model. The record is from RNAcentral.
AGUGAACGCUGGCGGUAGGCCUAACACAUGCAAGUCGAACGGCAGCACAGUAAGAGCUUGCUCUUACGGGUGGCGAGUGGCGGACGGGUGAGGAAUACAUCGGAAUCUACUUUUUCGUGGGGGAUAACGUAGGGAAACUUACGCUAAUACCGCAUACGACCUACGGGUGAAAGCAAGGGAUCUUCGGACCUUGCGCGAUUGAAUGAGCCGAUGUCGGAUUAGCUAGUUGGCGGGGUAAAGGCCCACCAAGGCGACGAUCCGUAGCUGGUCUGAGAGGAUGAUCAGCCACCCUGGAACUGAGACACGGUCCAGACUCCUACGGGAGGCAGCAGUGGGGAAUAUUGGACAAUGGGCGCAAGCCUGAUCCAGCCAUACCGCGUGGGUGAAGAAGGACUUCGGGUUGUAAAGCCCUUUUGUUGGGAAAGAAAAGCAGCACGUUAAUACCCCGCUGUUCUGACGGUACCCAAAGAAUAAGCACCGGCUAACUUCGUG